Cinara cedri is the source of this 244-nucleotide non-coding RNA. The record is from the annotation of a GenBank genome assembly. Lineage: Eukaryota; Metazoa; Arthropoda; Insecta; Hemiptera; Aphididae.
GACCCGCGGUUUUAUUCUAGUUUGCGAACAAUUUAUACGCGUUGCCUAACCGAAACGAUUCGUUUGUAUUUAUCCGGUGUGGCGCCAACCGGCUAGGUAACACGAUUUACCGAUACCGAAACCGACGGAUGUGCCACUGUUGUGGUGCAGGCGGAAACUGUGAAAGUAGGAUACAUAUUUUCGGGUGAUUUUUAAUUUAUAUCUGUACGCAACGAUAAAAAUCGUUGCUAACGAAAAACGGCCG